RNAcentral lists this ribosomal RNA (397 nucleotides) under uncultured bacterium. RNAcentral's name for it is "partial 16S ribosomal RNA". It matches the Rfam family "Bacterial small subunit ribosomal RNA", at positions 523 to 918 of the family's 1533-position model. The record is from RNAcentral.
AUACGUAGGGGGCGAGCGUUGUCCGGAAUGAUUGGGCGUAAAGGGCGCGUAGGCGGCUUUGCAAGUCUGUAGUGGAAGUCCAUUGUUCAAGGGGGGAAGUGCUACGGAAACUGGGGAGCUUGAGUGCAGGAGAGGUUAUUGGAAUUCCCGGUGUAGAGGUGAAAUGCGUAGAGAUCGGGAGGAACACCAGUGGCGAAGGCGGGUAACUGGACUGCAACUGACGCUGAGGCGCGAAAGUGUGGGGAGCAAACAGGAUUAGAUACCCUGGUAGUCCACGCUGUAAACGAUGAAUGCUAGGUGUAGGAGGGAUCGCCCCCUUCUGUGCCGCAGUAAACACAGUAAGCAUUCCGCCUGGGGAGUACGGUCGCAAGAUUAAAACUCAAAGGAAUUGACGGGG